AGACCUUUGAAAUUGUCUCAGUAAACAGACCGGUAGUGUACUCUUCUAUGGAGAUAACACGUAAUGUCUCUUUGGUUACAACUUUGAGCAAGUUGGAUUUGAAGACACGAUGCCAUGGAAUUGGUCCACAAAAACUAGUAUGUUGGUUGGAUUUUUUUUCUACUAUCGGUUGUUGUUUUUUGUUUGGUUGAGCUUUACUUAUAUCAUCUACUGGUGAGUGUCUGUUAUUCCUGUUUUGAGUUUGUACUCUUAGAACUCUGAUGUUUGAAUUAAACAGUGUUAGAAAAAGACUAGAAAGACCAACCCUUCAACUUGGUUAAUGUGUUAUACGUAUAAUAAAGUUGUUUUUUUUGUCAACUUAAUUUCAUUUAAAGAAAGUCCCGUGGGCCACAUUACAUGGUGAACUUAAAAAACUAAUCCCACCCAAUUACAAUUUCAUAAGCCCAAACCCAUGAUAACCGAUUGAUCGGAUAACUAUUAUGUUAUGACUGUCUCCAUGCUCGCCACGUGUCCUGCCAAUCUUCUUUCUGAUAACAUGCGUCUACUGUCAAGGCUUUUGGAGAAUGGGAUCUUCGGUCACGACAGAGACGCUCCUCCGCGAGUUGCUCAUCCACCGUCGCCGGAUUCUUCAAGUCACCAAAGUCCUCCUUCACUUCAACAUGCGCUUUAAUCGAACCAUCAAACAUCUUCAGAUUUUAAACUUGAGAUUAAUCAAAUCAAUUCAUAAGUAGAAUCUUUGUCAGACCGCUCCUUGAACGCCAACUCUUCUUACUCUCUUCUGAACCGUCGAUCUUAAUAUGUCAUCAUCUUUGUUCUUUCCAACCGGAAAGCUUAACCCAUAAGCCUAUCGACUUGCAGAAACGGUAAAGUCUGAUUUCCUAGGAGAGAAUUUGGAAUCAUAUCCUCCGAUGAAAAUAAAACGACUUAAGCUAACUGAAAUUUCAGUGGGCGAUCUUGCAAAAGAGGAACAUGAACAGUAAACGCUUCCGCAAUCCUUACUUGGAUCAGACUAUAAUACAAACAGAAACAACCAGAGAUAUAUACGAGUUAAGCUCAACUCUGGUUUGGUUCAAAUCUACAACACAAAGUCGUCAAACGAAAAGUACAUCGCCUAAUGAAAACAGAGAUCGAUCAAGGACCAAAGUAGUUACAUCAAAAAGAAAAAAAGUAAGAGAUGGUAACCGGCGGCGAAAGCCACCACCGGCCACUGACAUUGAACUUUGGUGAAAGACUCUUCUAGAGAGAGGUUGGAGAAAGCUUUCUAGAGAAAUAAAAUUGCAUAAUAAAGAUUAUUUAUGUAACUUUUCAGUUUACUUCAUGAAAUAUUGAUUAGCUUGAGAUAAUUAGCAGAAAAACGACAAAUAAAAACCCAA
RNAcentral lists this long non-coding RNA (1373 nucleotides) under Brassica napus (rape). RNAcentral describes it as "long non-coding RNA (BNAP_LNC007594)". Lineage: Eukaryota; Viridiplantae; Streptophyta; Magnoliopsida; Brassicales; Brassicaceae. The record is from RNAcentral.